Molecule: ribosomal RNA, 484 nt
Filed under: uncultured bacterium
Lineage: Bacteria
Description: partial 16S ribosomal RNA
Rfam family: Bacterial small subunit ribosomal RNA
Source: RNAcentral
AGUGAACGCUGGCGGCAGGCCUAACACAUGCAAGUCGAGCGGCAGCGCGGGGGCAACCCUGGCGGCGAGCGGCGGACGGGUGAGGAAUUCGUCGGAAUCUGCCUUUUCGUGGGGGAUAACGUAGGGAAACUUACGCUAAUACCGCAUACGUCCUACGGGAGAAAGUGGGGGACCGCAAGGCCUCACGCAGAAAGAUGAGCCGACGACCGAUUAGCUAGUUGGUGGGGUAAAGGCCCACCAAGGCGACGAUCGGUAGCUGGUCUGAGAGGAUGAUCAGCCACACUGGGACUGAGACACGGCCCAGACUCCUACGGGAGGCAGCAGUGGGGAAUAUUGGACAAUGGGCGCAAGCCUGAUCCAGCAAUGCCGCGUGUGUGAAGAAGGCCUUCGGGUUGUAAAGCACUUUUGUCCGGAAAGAAAUCCCUGGAGCUAAUACCUUCGGGGGAUGACGGUACCGGAAGAAUAAGCAACGGCUAACUUCGUG